UCAAGCGAACAAGGGCGCAGGGCGAAUGCCUUGGCACUGGGAGCCGAUGAAAGACGUGAUAAGCUGCGAUAAGCUUCGGGGAGCUGCAAAUAAGCAUUGAUCCGGAGAUUUCUGAAUGAGGAAACUCACCUGGGUUCAUACUCAGGUACGUUGUACUGAAAUUCAAAAUAGGUACAUCGGGGGAACCGCCUGAACUGAAACAUCUAAGUAGGGCGAGGAAGAGACAUCAAACGAGAUUCCGUAAGUAGUGGCGAGCGAACGCGGAAGAGGGCAAACCGGGAGUAGAAAUACUUCCGGGGUACGGAGCGCAUUUAAGACUUGAGUUGUUAACCGAACGGCAUGGGAAGGCCGGUCAGAGAGUGUGAGAACCACGUAGGUGAAAACGACAAGAGCUGAGCGAUUUCCAGAGUACGGCCAGACACGUGAAACCUGGUCGGAAGAUGGGGGGACCACCCUCCAACCCUAAAUACUACCCAGUGACCGAUAGCGUAUAGUACUGUGAAGGAAAGGUGAAAAGCACCCCGGGAGGGGAGUGAAAAAGAACCUGAAACCCUGUGCCUACAAGCACCUAGAGCGCGUCAAUGCGUGAUAGGGUACUUUUUGUAGAACGGUCCGGCGAGCGAUUGUAUGCAGCAAGGUUAAGGACUUAAGGUCUGGAGCCGAAGCGAAAGCGAGUUUGAAAAGGGCGUUAAGUUGCAUAUAAUGGGCCCGAAACCGGGUGACCUACCCAUGGUCAGGUUGAAGUGGAAGUAAAAUUCCAUGGAGGACCGAACCGACCUCCGUUGAAAAGGCGGCGGAUGAACUGUGGGUAGCGGAGAAAUUCCAAUCGAACCCGGAGAUAGCUGGUUCUCCCCGAAAUAGUUUUAGGACUAGCCUCAAGUUAGAUACCUGGAGGUAAAGCACUGAAUAGCCUAGCGGCCGAGAGGUUAGCGAAGCUUAUCAAACUCAGAAUGCCAGAGUAUUGAUGCUUGGGAGUCAGACAGUGUCAGAUAAAUGUCAUUGUCAAAAGGGAAACAGCCCAGAUCUACAGCUAAGGUCCCAAAGUCAGGUUAAGUGGAAAACGAUGUGAAGAUACGCAGACAACCAGGAUGUUGGCUCAGAAGCAGCCACUCAUUCAAAGAGUGCGUAAUAGCUCACUGGUCGAGCGUCUUUGCGCGGAGAAUUUAACGGGGCUAAACCUGACACCGAAGCUUAGGCAAUCCAGUAAUGGAUUGGGUAGGGGAGCGUUGUAUACGCGGAGAAACAGUAGCGUAAGCGGCUGUGGAGUGUAUAGAAGUGAGAAUGCCGGAAUGAGUAGCGCGAAUGCAGUGAGAAUCUGCAUGGCCGAAAGCCUCAGGUUUUUGGAGGAAGGUUCGUCCGCUCCAAGUUAGUCGGGAGCUAAGGUGAGGCCGGAAGGCGUAGCCGAUGCACAGACGGUAGAGAUUCCGUCACCACCAAAAGAGUUAAGCACAGGGACACAUUUGAAGUCUCAGAGCCGGGUGUUGGUUCCGGUAGAGAUCGAGGGAAGUUAGUACCGAAGUCUGGGAUGGAAGAUGGCGAGAAAAGCUGUGUGUAUUUCUGAGGUGCCCGUACCGCAAACCGACACAGGUAGGUAGGAAGAAGAUUCUAAGGCCAACGGGAGAAGGGUUGUUAAGGAACUCGGCAAAUUGACCCCGUAACUUCGGGAGAAGGGGUGCUCCAGAGAUGGAGCCGCAGAGAAUCGGCCCAAGCAACUGUUUACCAAAAACACAGGUUUGUGCUAAAUCGAAAGAUGACGUAUACGAGCUGACGCCUGCCCGGUGCUGGAAGGUUAAGAGGAGAUGUGCAAGCAUUGAAUCGAAGCCCCAGUGAACGGCGGCCGUAACUAUAACGGUCCUAAGGUAGCGAAAUUCCUUGUCAGGUAAGUUCUGACCCGCAUGAAAGGCGUAAUGAUUUGGGCACUGUCUCAACAGCCCGCCCGGCGAAAUUGUAGUACCGGUGAAGAUGCCGGUUACC
RNAcentral lists this ribosomal RNA (1974 nucleotides) under human gut metagenome. RNAcentral describes it as "bacterial LSU rRNA". It matches the Rfam family "Bacterial large subunit ribosomal RNA", at positions 3 to 2070 of the family's 2925-position model. The record is from RNAcentral.